Molecule: ribosomal RNA, 300 nt
Filed under: uncultured Streptomyces sp.
Lineage: Bacteria; Bacillati; Actinomycetota; Actinomycetes; Kitasatosporales; Streptomycetaceae
Description: bacterial SSU rRNA
Rfam family: Bacterial small subunit ribosomal RNA
Source: RNAcentral
CACGUGGGCAAUCUGCCCUGCACUCUGGGACAAGCCCUGGAAACGGGGUCUAAUACCGGAUACGAGCCUCCUGGGCAUCUGGGAGGUUGGAAAGCUCCGGCGGUGCAGGAUGAGCCCGCGGCCUAUCAGCUUGUUGGUGAGGUAACGGCUCACCAAGGCAACGAUGCGUAGCCGACCUGAGAGGGUGAUCGGCCACACUGGGACUGAGACACGGCCCAGACUCCUACGGGAGGCAGCAGUAGGGAAUCUUCCACAAUGGACGAAAGUCUGAUGGAGCAACGCCGCGUGAGUGAAGAAGGA